This 67-nucleotide transfer RNA is filed under the name Rhizoctonia solani AG-1 IA. RNAcentral describes it as "tRNA-Ala (TGC) (tRNA-Ala-TGC-2-1)". It matches the Rfam family "tRNA". From Rfam's summary of the family: Transfer RNA (tRNA) molecules are approximately 80 nucleotides in length. Their secondary structure includes four short double-helical elements and three loops (D, anti-codon, and T loops). The record is from RNAcentral. Lineage: Eukaryota; Fungi; Basidiomycota; Agaricomycetes; Cantharellales; Ceratobasidiaceae.
GUAGUGUAGGGGUUAUCGCGCCUCAUUUGCAUUGAGGAGGUCAGGAGUUCAAUUCUCCUCUUGUCCA